AAAUAAAAGAGAAAAGAAAAAAGAAAAAAGAAAAUAAAACAAAUAAUCAAAAAAACACAAAAAAAUCUUAAAAAUGAAAACACAAAAAAACCAAAAAACUAAAAGAACUAAAAAACAUCAUGACCUAAGAAACUGCACACCACUGGUUGUCUAGUGGGCUCUAGUUGGUAGAGAAAGCUAUGCUUUUGCCUGAAGCCAUGAUUGGCCAAUCCUUAAAAUGUGCUAAGCACAUUAUCCGAAGAUGUCUCGGAUGUUUUUUUACCUAACCUAAUUUUUUUGUAUUUUUAUAUAAUUUUUUGAUUUUUUUGUAUUUUAUAUACAUAUUUUUGUUUUUUGAUUUUUUUGUUUUUAAUAUUUUUUCUUCUAAUUACUACAUUAAUAUAUUUGAUUAUUCAUAUACUUAAAAUAUAUAGUAUGUAUUAUAAAAAUAGAGCAAUAUAAUAAAGCUAGUAUAACUACAUUACAAACAUAUAUCUAAAUAUUUAGAUAGACUUAUCAAACUAAAGACUCUGCUAGAGAGUGAGUAAUAAUAAUGGCAAUACCUCACACACAAAGCCCAAAACCACACAGACAAAAUAACUUAUGGAAUAUAAUCAAGAACUAAAAUAUACACAUAUAAAUAUACAUAUUAACUUACACCUAAAGAAACAACACACUGUUUGAAGACAUGCAUCUUCCAUGGAGAUAUGAGAUCCCCCACAACUACUGACUUAUUCAGU
RNAcentral lists this unclassified non-coding RNA (719 nucleotides) under Tenuivirus oryzaclavatae. Lineage: Riboviria; Orthornavirae; Negarnaviricota; Bunyaviricetes; Hareavirales; Phenuiviridae. The record is from RNAcentral.